GGCGAGCCGCUGAUUCAGAGACAACAGCUGCGUCCUCUCGUCUGACAACAGGCCCUCCUCCAGAGAACAGGUCCGACCACACCGCUCCUCUGGAGGUUCACACCUCGCUGAGUGCUCAAACACACCUGUGUGCUCAGGUUUCCUAUGAUGGCAAGUGACCACAAGGCUUCAGGGCCAAAAAGAAUAUGGAUCUCCUUCUGUGCAGUAUGCGCUGC
This is a long non-coding RNA of Fundulus heteroclitus (mummichog), 215 nucleotides long. RefSeq lists it as uncharacterized. The transcript is spliced from 3 exons. Lineage: Eukaryota; Metazoa; Chordata; Actinopteri; Cyprinodontiformes; Fundulidae. The record is from RefSeq and is a predicted model, not a curated record.